Molecule: unclassified non-coding RNA, 224 nt
Filed under: Glomerales sp.
Lineage: Eukaryota; Fungi; Glomeromycota; Glomeromycetes; Glomerales; Glomeraceae
Description: partial contains 5.8S ribosomal RNA and internal transcribed spacer 2
Rfam family: 5.8S ribosomal RNA (bases 1-71)
Source: RNAcentral
GUGAAUCAUCAAAUCUUUGAACGCAAAUUGCACUCUCUGGUAAUCCGGAGAGUAUGUCUGUUUGAGGCUCAGAAUAAAUAACAAUCGGUGUGGUUGCUGCCUUUCGUGGUGACGCACUGGAUGAGGGUAGUCUUGCUUUCGGUUAAGUGAUCUAAAUUUUUGCAUGAUUUUUUCGAACGUAUCUAAAUGUUUUUACGAACGUUUGCGUUAUCGUAUACUAGGUA